GAUGAAGAACGUAGCGAAAUGCGAUAAGUAGUGUGAAUUGCAGAAUUCAGUGAAUCAUCGAAUCUUUGAACGCACAUUGCGCCCCAUGGUAUUCCGUGGGGCAUGCCUGUUCGAGCGUCAUUUACCCCCUCAAGCUCCGCUUGGUGUUGGGCGUCUGUCCCGCUUCGCGCGCGGACUCGCCCCAAAGGUAUUGGCAGCGGUCGUGCCAGCUUCUCGCGCAGCACAUUGCGCUUCUCGAGGCACCGGUGGGCCCGCGUCCAUCAAGCUCACCCCCCCAGUUUGACCUCGGAUCAGGUAGGGAUACCCGCUGAACUUAAGCAUACAAUAAGCGGAGGA
This 336-nucleotide unclassified non-coding RNA is filed under the name soil metagenome. RNAcentral's name for it is "partial contains 5.8S ribosomal RNA, internal transcribed spacer 2, and large subunit ribosomal RNA". The stretch from base 1 to 120 matches the Rfam family "5.8S ribosomal RNA", at positions 35 to 154 of the family's 154-position model. The record is from RNAcentral.